This 517-nucleotide long non-coding RNA is filed under the name Elaeis guineensis (African oil palm). RNAcentral describes it as "long non-coding RNA (EGUI_LNC003469)". Lineage: Eukaryota; Viridiplantae; Streptophyta; Magnoliopsida; Arecales; Arecaceae. The record is from RNAcentral.
CAAACAAGAAGAAGAGAGAGAUAAAAGGAGUGGGCGAUGCCAAGGGCCUUCAGCUGCCCUGAAAUAGGCCCAUAAGCAAUACAUCCGAGCCGAAGCAAAUAAAAAAAGAAAGGGGGGCUGCCUUAUUUCCCCUGCAGAUUAAAAAAGCCAUUGAAGGAUGAAAAACUGGGCACCUGCUGCUCGGCGCCGGCACCGCCGCCUUCCCCAUGUCCGACAUUCGGCAACACCGGCUCCGCCUGAGCUCUGGCUUCAUCAUAGUGGAUAGCUGUGAAAUAGACCAACGCCUCUCGCAUGCUUCUUCGAUGAUUUCAAGGCUAGAUCGGCGGUCCCAAUUCCUCCCAUGCACCCAUGCACCUUCGGCAUCGAGCCCGGCUAGGUCAAUGGCCCUGAGCUCCUCCAGAUCCGAGCUCACUCGUGCCUCAACUAAUGACUUUGGCCCUUCCGACCUCGUCGGAUCUGGGCUUCUGAGGCCACGACCAUAAGGUCUUCUCCGCACACACCUCCGACCUUGCCGAGG